Molecule: ribosomal RNA, 117 nt
Filed under: Varanus komodoensis (Komodo dragon)
Lineage: Eukaryota; Metazoa; Chordata; Lepidosauria; Squamata; Varanidae
Description: partial 16S ribosomal RNA
Source: RNAcentral
UAUGCACUAUUCUCUUCAGUACGAAAGGACCAAGAAAAUGGGACCAAUAUCCCCACAAGUCCCCACCCACCUGAAACAAUAUCAAGCCUACAGUACCCUAUCACCCAAAAACAGGGC